RNAcentral lists this ribosomal RNA (1380 nucleotides) under Triticum aestivum (bread wheat). RNAcentral's name for it is "partial small subunit ribosomal RNA". The record is from RNAcentral. Lineage: Eukaryota; Viridiplantae; Streptophyta; Magnoliopsida; Poales; Poaceae.
AUGUCGUGGUCUGACACGGACGCGGCGCUCUUCGCGGCCGUCCUGGGCCACGACGCCGCGCGCCACCUGGCCACCACACCGCCGCACCUCGACGGCCCGGCCUCGUCGUCGCCCGAGCUGCAGACGCGCCUGUACGACCUCGUCGAGCGGGGAGGAGCCUGGACCUACGGCAUCUACUGGCAGGAGUCCCGGGCCGGCGCCGGCGUGCUCGGCUGGGGCGACGGGCACUGCCGCGACGGCCCGGCCGAGCAAGCCGGGGCCACGGACAGGAGCCUGGCGCGUAAGCGCGCGCUGCUGCGGCUCCACGCGCUGUAUGGCGGCGGGGACGAGGACGGCGCCGACUACGCGCUCCGCCUCGACCGGGUCACUGGCGUUGAGAUGUACUUCCUGGCGUCCAUGUACUUCUCGUUCCGCGAGGACGCCGGCGGCCCGGGCCGCGCGCUCACCUCCGGCCACCACGCCUGGGCCGCCGUCGAUCCCCACCUGCCCGCCGCACCCGGGUGGUACGUCCGCGCGUCCCUCGCCCAGUCCGCCGGCCUACGCACAGUCGUCUUCCUCCCUUGCAAGGGCGGCGUCCUUGAGCUCGGUUCCGCCGUGGCCAUGCGCGAGAACCCCGAGGUCCUGCGCGCCAUCCAAUCUGUCUUCCACGUCGAGGCCGUCGCGCCGGACGAUCGCAUGAGGAUCUUCGGGAAGGACGUCUCCCGCAGCCCCCCAUUGCCGCCGGUGCAAACCACGGGGAGCGACGCCAGUUGGGCGCUGCGGCUCGGCGGGCAGGCUAAGCAGGAGGCGGCGGCGGCCAAACCGAAACCCCAGCAGGAGCCUCCCAAGACCAUAAGCUUCAGCAACGCCGUCGGCGCGCAGAAGCAGGCGGGCGGCGAGGACCGGAGGCCGCGGAAGCGGGGGCGCAAGCCGGCGAACGGGCGGGAGGAGCCGCUGAACCACGUGGAGGCGGAGCGGCAGCGGCGGGAGAAGCUGAACCAGCGGUUUUACGCGCUGCGCGCGGUGGUGCCCAAGAUCUCCAAGAUGGACAAGGCAUCGCUGCUGAGCGACGCCAUCGCGUACAUCCAGGAGCUGGAGGAGCGCCUCCGGGGCGGCGCGCCGGCGCGGGCGGAGGCCGGGCCGUCCGUGGAGGUGAAGGCAAUGCAGGACGAGGUGGUGCUGCGCGUGAGCACCCCCCUCGACGCGCACCCCAUCUCCGGGCCGCUGAGCGCCAUGCGGGACUCCCAGCUGAACGUGGUGGCAUCGAGCAUGGCGGUGGCGGACGACACCGUCACGCACACGCUCGUGGUGCGGUCGGCGGGGCCCGAGCGGCUCACGGCCGAGGCCGUGCUGGCCGCGAUUUCCCGUGGGGUGAUGAUGAGCGCCACCCCCUCCCCGUGA